Molecule: non-coding RNA, 1052 nt
Organism: Podarcis lilfordi (Lilford's wall lizard)
Lineage: Eukaryota; Metazoa; Chordata; Lepidosauria; Squamata; Lacertidae
Source: the annotation of a GenBank genome assembly
CGACCCUCUCCCCACGCGUGUCCGUGAGCGACUGGCAUUGUUCUGCUUUCGAGAAUGGAGUGACUAUCUCGCCAUCGUGGCCAGCACAUUCACUUUCAUGACGGGAUGGCUCCAUUGAAUGAUGAACUAUCUGGGACCUUCCUCUAAGGCGGCUCAGAAACGAAUCUCUGGAUCCAGAACCAGGUGAUGUUGGCAAGUUGUCUUGCUCUAAGGUUACACUCCUCUGCGCCCAAGUAAGUUCUAUUGAACACAGCGGGACUUAAUUCUUGAGCGCGCGUCGGAUUGACCUGUACAGUUAGGGACUGAUGGGAAGUUAGUCCCACUAGAAUAAUAUCCACCAGGGGCGGGGGUAGCCGGACUCUCAAACACCUUUCAACUGCGGGCAUUCCUCGUGCAUUAUUAUAAUAUAUAACCCAAAGAAUAAGUGUUCCUGUUUACCUCCCACCUCGCAAAAAGCACAGUACCGUCGCCUCUCCAUCCAGGAGCUUCCGCGCCUACUUGGUGGCCACGCCGGCUUAGAUGGGAUCCGGAUCGGAAUUCUCGCCUUGCAAGGUUGCCUUCCUCCUACCGUCCCCACUGAAAUCGGCCGGUGGUUUCAAUCUCUCCGGUUGUCCCGAGGAGCUUCGGAGGACGGAGACCGAAUGGUCUCAGCCAGUCCUUCAGAGUGACUUCUGCAAAAAUUGACGCGGCGCGUUAGAAGAAUUGGGUAGCAAGCGAAGGCUGCGAUCUGGAGGACGCUUACCCGGGAGUAAACCUCACUGAGUACAGCGGGACUUGCUUCUGAGUAAAAUAAUGACGACGACGAUGAUAAAAAUAAUGCACCUGAUUGCUUUGUACAUGACAUUUCUGGAAUAGAUGCGGCGAAGCGCUCCGGGACUACAGAGAUCUCCCUUAGACCGGCAAAGCAUUCCCGUUUAGUAUCCAGAAGGGAAUUCUGGUUCGCAGGAAUUGCAAAGAGAUAUUGAAUAAAUUCCUCGUUUCCUGCCAGGAUGUCUUUGGUUCCCCAAACUCCUGUGGAAUUUGCAGGAGGCAAAGCAGCCUGCGUUGAGUGC